This 217-nucleotide long non-coding RNA is filed under the name Homo sapiens (human). RNAcentral describes it as "HSALNT0008345". Lineage: Eukaryota; Metazoa; Chordata; Mammalia; Primates; Hominidae. The record is from RNAcentral.
AGAUUCUCAGACAAAGGCUGGUGGGACUUAACAUUCAAGUGAAGAGGACCUAGCACUGAAGUUUUUGAAUGAAAUGGAGAACGUUGAUAACAGAAGAGACAUAUGCAGUAGGGAAGCUGUCCACAGGAGGUCUACAUGCUCCUCUUUUAGAAUGCUGAACUCUGGAUGCCAAAGAAGAUGACAAGAGGUGACAGCCAGGAGGGGAAAGUAAUUCUCA